RNAcentral lists this transfer RNA (81 nucleotides) under Clytia hemisphaerica. RNAcentral describes it as "tRNA-Leu for anticodon CAG". It matches the Rfam family "tRNA". Rfam says of the family: Transfer RNA (tRNA) molecules are approximately 80 nucleotides in length. Their secondary structure includes four short double-helical elements and three loops (D, anti-codon, and T loops). Lineage: Eukaryota; Metazoa; Cnidaria; Hydrozoa; Leptothecata; Clytiidae. The record is from Rfam by way of RNAcentral.
GGCAGAAUGGCCAGUGGUCUAAGGCACUGGUUUCAGGUACCAGUCACUGCGGUGGCGAGGGUUCGAAUCCCACUUCUGUCA